UGAGGAAUAUUGGGCAAUGCCCGCAAGGGUGACCCAGCAACGCCGCGUGGAGGAUGAAUGUCGUAAGAUUGUAAACUCCUGUUAGAGGGGAAGAAUAGUACCGGUUGGACCGGUAUAUGACUGUACCCUCAGAGAAAGCCCCGGCUAACUACGUGCCAGCAGCCGCGGUAAUACGUAGGGGGCAAGCGUUGUCCGGAUUUACUGGGCGUAAAGCGCGUGCAGGCGGAUUGGAGAGUUGGAUGUGAAAGCUCCCGGCUUAACUGGGAGAGGUCGUUCAAUACUUCCAGUCUUGAGUGCAGUAGAGGGAAGUGGAAUUCCGGGUGUAGUGGUGAAAUGCGUAGAUAUCCGGAGGAACACCAGUGGCGAAAGCGGCUUCCUGGACUGUAACUGACGCUCAGACGCGAAAGCUAGGGUAGCAAACG
RNAcentral lists this ribosomal RNA (422 nucleotides) under uncultured bacterium. RNAcentral's name for it is "bacterial SSU rRNA". It matches the Rfam family "Bacterial small subunit ribosomal RNA", at positions 355 to 774 of the family's 1533-position model. The record is from RNAcentral.